GACGAACGCUGGCGGCGUGCUUAACACAUGCAAGUCGAACGAUGAAGCUGGAGCUUGCUCCGGUGGAUUAGUGGCGAACGGGUGAGUAACACGUGAGAAAUCUGCCCUUGACUCUGGGAUAACUGCGGGAAACUGUAGCUAAUACCGGAUAUUUUCCUUGGUGGGCAUCCACUGGGGAAGAAAGAAUUUCGGUCAAGGAUGAUCUCGCGGCCUAUCAGCUAGUUGGUGAGGUAAUGGCUCACCAAGGCGACGACGGGUAGCCGGCCUGAGCGGGUGACCGGCCACACUGGGACUGAGACACGGCCCAGACUCCUACGGGAGGCAGCAGUGGGGAAUAUUGCACAAUGGGCGCAAGCCUGAUGCAGCAACGCCGCGUGAGGGAUGAAGGCCUUCGGGUUGUAAACCUCUUUUAGCAGGGAAGAAGCGAAAGUGACGGUACCUGCAGAAGAAGGACCGGCCAACUACGUGCCAGCCGCCGCAGUAA
This 484-nucleotide ribosomal RNA is filed under the name uncultured bacterium. Its description in RNAcentral is "partial 16S ribosomal RNA". It matches the Rfam family "Bacterial small subunit ribosomal RNA", at positions 28 to 523 of the family's 1533-position model. The record is from RNAcentral.